This 285-nucleotide ribosomal RNA is filed under the name Triticum aestivum (bread wheat). RNAcentral's name for it is "partial small subunit ribosomal RNA". The record is from RNAcentral. Lineage: Eukaryota; Viridiplantae; Streptophyta; Magnoliopsida; Poales; Poaceae.
AUGGCGCCCGCCUGCCUCCUAUUGCCACUCCUCCUGCUCCCAUUCGCCCCAGGUCCAGCACAGGCCGCGACGCCGGCAAGGUCUCCGUCGGCGUCAGCAUCAUCCUCCUCCACGUCCGUCGUGUUCCAGCUCCAGGGCGACGUAUAUCCCACCGGGCAUUACUAUGCCACCAUGAACAUUGGGGAUCCGGCGAGGCCCUACUUCUUGGACAUUGACACCGGCAGUGACCUCACUUGGCUGCAGUGCGACGCUCCCUGCCAAAGCUGCAACAAGGUAGAGUACUAG